RNAcentral lists this unclassified non-coding RNA (406 nucleotides) under uncultured fungus. RNAcentral's name for it is "partial contains small subunit ribosomal RNA, internal transcribed spacer 1, and 5.8S ribosomal RNA". The stretch from base 1 to 73 matches the Rfam family "Eukaryotic small subunit ribosomal RNA", at positions 1759 to 1831 of the family's 1831-position model. Lineage: Eukaryota; Fungi. The record is from RNAcentral.
GCAAACUUGGUCAUUUAGAGGAAGUAAAAGUCGUAACAAGGUUUCCGUAGGUGAACCUGCGGAAGGAUCAUUAUUGAAGUUGAAUGCAAGCUGUCGCUGGCCUUAUCUCCAAGGCAUGUGCACGCUUUGCACUUCUACUUUAUUUCCCCUUUGUGCACCUUUGGCUAGUUCAGGUUUACUUUCUGUAUAAAUGAGACCAUAUGCUUUUCAAGCCUUGGCUUCGUUUUGAAGAUUGCGUCUUAGCUCUCUUUGUGCUGCAGAAAGGGCAUGGGCUAUGCAUCCUGUUUUUAUAAACUUGCAUAAUCUUGGAAUGACUUUUGUGUUUACUAGGUUGUUGAACCUGUAAAUCUUCUAUACAACUUUCAGCAAUGGAUCUCUUGGCUCUGGCAUCGAUGAAGAACGCAGC